GCUCUACAGAGUGGUCAAUGUCUAAUCCACUUGAACUGGGGCUGAAGAAAGAGUGAAAAUGGGAACAAAGGCCGGGCGGUGGUGGCACAUGCCUUUUAUCCCAG
Molecule: microRNA precursor, 104 nt
Filed under: Mesocricetus auratus (golden hamster)
Lineage: Eukaryota; Metazoa; Chordata; Mammalia; Rodentia; Cricetidae
Description: miRNA (ENSMAUG00000006549.1)
Source: RNAcentral